UCUCCGUUGGUGAACCAGCGGAGGGAUCAUUACCGAGUUUACAACUCCCAAACCCAAUGUGAACCAUACCAAACUGUUGCCUCGGCGGGGUCACGCCCCGGAUGCGUCGCAGCCCCGGAACCAGGCGCCCGCCGGAGGGACCAACCAAACUCUUUCUGUAGUCCCCUCGCGGACGUUAUUUUUACAGCUCUGAGCAAAAAUUCAAAAUGAAUCAAAACUUUCAACAACGGAUCUCUUGGUUCUG
This 244-nucleotide unclassified non-coding RNA is filed under the name plant metagenome. RNAcentral's name for it is "partial contains small subunit ribosomal RNA, internal transcribed spacer 1, and 5.8S ribosomal RNA". The record is from RNAcentral.